RNAcentral lists this ribosomal RNA (492 nucleotides) under uncultured bacterium. Its description in RNAcentral is "partial 16S ribosomal RNA". It matches the Rfam family "Bacterial small subunit ribosomal RNA", at positions 29 to 507 of the family's 1533-position model. The record is from RNAcentral.
AGUGAACGCUGGCGGUAGGCCUAACACAUGCAAGUCGAACGGCAGCACAGUAAGCGCUUGCUCUUACGGGUGGCGAGUGGCGGGCGGGUGAGGAAUACAUCGGAAUCUACUUUUUCGUGGGGGAUAACGGAGGGAAACUUACGCUAAUACCGCAUACGACCUACGGGUGAAAGCAGGGGAUCUUCGGACCUUGGGCGAUUCAAUGAGCCGAUGUCGGAUUAGCUAGUUGGCGGGGUAAAGGCCCACCAAGGCGACGAUCCGUAGCUGGUCUGAGAGGAUGAUCAGCCACACUGGAACUGAGACACGGUCCAGACUCCUACGGGAGGCAGCAGUGGGGAAUAUUGGACAAUGGGCGCAAGCCUGAUCCAGCCAUACCGCGUGGGUGAAGAAGGCCUUCGGGUUGUAAAGCCCUUUUGUUGGGAAAGAAAAGAAGCAGGUUAAUACCCCGCUGUUCUGACGGUACCCAAAGAAUAAGCACCGGCUAACUUCGUG